GCACUGCUGAGGAGUCCCACACUAGGACGAAACGGCCGUUUAGUGC
Molecule: non-coding RNA, 46 nt
Organism: Schistosoma haematobium
Lineage: Eukaryota; Metazoa; Platyhelminthes; Trematoda; Strigeidida; Schistosomatidae
Source: Rfam